Molecule: ribosomal RNA, 253 nt
Filed under: uncultured bacterium
Lineage: Bacteria
Description: partial 16S ribosomal RNA
Rfam family: Bacterial small subunit ribosomal RNA
Source: RNAcentral
UACAGGGGGGGCAAGCGUUGUUCGGAAUUACUGGGCGUAAAGGGUCUGUAGGUGGCCAACUAAGUCAGACGUGAAAUCCCUCAGCUUAACUCGGGAACUGCGCUUGAUACUGUCGAGCUAGAGUGUGGAAGGGGCGAUUGGAAUUCCGUGUGUAGCGGUGAAAUGCGUAGAUAUACGGAGGAACACCAGAGGCGAAGGCGGAUCGCUGGGCCAACACUGACGCUGAUGUGCGAAAGCUAGGGGAGCAAACGGG